UGUGUGCAUACAAACUGGUGACCGUC
This 26-nucleotide non-coding RNA is filed under the name Homo sapiens (human). Lineage: Eukaryota; Metazoa; Chordata; Mammalia; Primates; Hominidae. The record is from RNAcentral.